GGCUGGUCCAAUGGUAGUGGGUUAUCAGAGCUUAUUAACAUUAGUGUCACUAAAGUUGGUAUUCAACCCCCCACUGCUAAAUUUGACUGGCUAGAA
Molecule: unclassified non-coding RNA, 96 nt
Organism: Otolemur garnettii (small-eared galago)
Lineage: Eukaryota; Metazoa; Chordata; Mammalia; Primates; Galagidae
Rfam family: Y RNA
About the family: Y RNAs are components of the Ro ribonucleoprotein particle (Ro RNP), in association with Ro60 and La proteins. The Y RNAs and Ro60 and La proteins are well conserved, but the function of the Ro RNP is not known. In humans the RNA component can be one of four small RNAs -- hY1, hY3, hY4 and hY5.
Source: Ensembl